UCGAACGAGAAAGUGGAGCAAUCCAUGAGUAAAGUGGCGCACGGGUGAGUAACACGUGACUAACCUACCCUUGAGUGGGGGAUAACUGAGGGAAACCUUAGCUAAUACCGCAUAAUACCCACGGGUCAAAGGAGCAAUUCGCUCGAGGAGGGGGUCGCGGCCGAUUAGUUAGUUGGCGGGGUAAUGGCCCACCAAGACGAUGAUCGGUAUCCGGCCUGAGAGGGCGCACGGACACACUGGAACUGAAACACGGUCCAGACUCCUACGGGAGGCAGCAGUGGGGAAUUUUGCGCAAUGGGGGAAACCCUGACGCAGCAACGCCGCGUGGAGGAUGAAGUACUUCGGUACGUAAACUCCUUUCGAUCGGGACGAUAAUGACGGUACCGAGAGAAGAAGCCCCGGCUAACUUCGUGCCAGCAGCCGCGGUAAUACGAGGGGGGCGAGCGUUGUUCGGAAUUAUUGGGCGUAAAGGGUGCGUAGGCGGUUUGGUAAGUCUGAUGUGAAAUCUAUGGGCUCAACUCAUAGUCUGCAUCGGAAACUGCCGGGCUUGAGUGUGGGAGAGGUGAGUGGAAUUUCCGGUGUAGCGGUGAAAUGCGUAGAUAUCGGAAGGAACACCUGUGGCGAAAGCGGCUCACUGGACCACAACUGACGCUGAUGCACGAAAGCUAGGGGAGCAAACAGGAUUAGAUACCCUGGUAGUCCUAGCCCUAAACGAUGAUCGCUUGGUGUGACGGGUACCCAAU
RNAcentral lists this ribosomal RNA (743 nucleotides) under uncultured bacterium. Its description in RNAcentral is "bacterial SSU rRNA". It matches the Rfam family "Bacterial small subunit ribosomal RNA", at positions 62 to 837 of the family's 1533-position model. The record is from RNAcentral.